CGUAGGGUGCAAGCGUUAUCCGGAUUUACUGGGCGUAAAGUGUUGCGUAGGCGGAUCCUCGCAUUUUGUUUAAAAGACCAAGGCUCAACCUUGGUUUUGGGCAAAAGAUGGAGGAUCUUGAUGACUAAAGAGGAUACUAGAACUCUACAUGUAGCAGUGAAAUGCGUUGAUAUGUAGAGGAAUACCAAAGGCGUAGGCAGGUAUCUGGGUAGUUCAUGACGCUGAGGCACGACAGCCUGGGGAGCGAAGCAGAUUAGAGACCUGCGUAGCCCAGGCCGUAAACGAUCCUUGCUAGAUGGGAGGUUUUUUCUCCUGUCGUAAGCUAACGCGUUAAGCAAGGCGCCUGGGGAGUACGAGCGCAAGCUUA
Molecule: ribosomal RNA, 367 nt
Filed under: uncultured organism
Description: bacterial SSU rRNA
Rfam family: Bacterial small subunit ribosomal RNA
Source: RNAcentral